Molecule: ribosomal RNA, 245 nt
Filed under: uncultured Eubacteriales bacterium
Lineage: Bacteria; Bacillati; Bacillota; Clostridia; Eubacteriales
Description: uncultured Clostridiales bacterium partial 16S ribosomal RNA
Rfam family: Bacterial small subunit ribosomal RNA
Source: RNAcentral
UACGUAGGGGGCGAGCGUUAUCCGGAUUUACUGGGUGUAAAGGGGGCGCAGACGGACAGGCAAGUCAGGUGUGGAAGCCCCGGGCACAACUCGGGGAGCGCACUUGAAACUGCAGGUCUGGAGUGCUGGAGGGGUGAGCGGAAUUCCUGGUGUAGCGGUGAAAUGCGUAGAUAUCAGGAAGAACACCGGCGGCGAAGGCGGCUCACUGGACAGUAACUGACGUUGAGGCCCGAAAGCGUGGGGAG